GUAGGGUGCGAGCGUUGUCCGGAAUUACUGGGCGUAAAGAGCUCGUAGGUGGUUUGUCGCGUCGUUUGUGUAAGCCCGCAGCUUAACUGCGGGACUGCAGGCGAUACGGGCAUAACUUGAGUGCUGUAGGGGAGACUGGAAUUCCUGGUGUAGCGGUGGAAUGCGCAGAUAUCAGGAGGAACACCGAUGGCGAAGGCAGGUCUCUGGGCAGUAACUGACGCUGAGGAGCGAAAGCAUGGGGAGCGAACAGGAUUAGAUACCCUGGUAGUCCAUGCCGUAAACGGUGGGCGCUAGGUGUGAGUCCCUUCCACGGGGUUCGUGCCGUAGCUAACGCAUUAAGCGCCCCGCCUGGGGAGUACGGCCGCAAGGCUAAA
Molecule: ribosomal RNA, 374 nt
Filed under: uncultured bacterium
Lineage: Bacteria
Description: bacterial SSU rRNA
Rfam family: Bacterial small subunit ribosomal RNA
Source: RNAcentral